UGAUGACCGGCCGUAGGUCCAGGGUUC
Molecule: non-coding RNA, 27 nt
Filed under: Homo sapiens (human)
Lineage: Eukaryota; Metazoa; Chordata; Mammalia; Primates; Hominidae
Source: RNAcentral